Long non-coding RNA from Musa acuminata AAA Group (dessert banana), 1186 nucleotides. RefSeq lists it as uncharacterized. The transcript is spliced from 3 exons. Lineage: Eukaryota; Viridiplantae; Streptophyta; Magnoliopsida; Zingiberales; Musaceae. The record is from RefSeq and is a predicted model, not a curated record.
AUAGGGUUAGUUGCAGAUAAGCCCCUGAGAUUUUGUCUAUUUUACGUAUGCAUGCUUCAGAAUUUACAUAUAAGUCCCGGCCCAACCCAUCUAUAUAUAGUUUUUGCUUUGCUUCGUUUGUAUAAUAGCUCACCUUUGGGAGUCCAUCGCAACUAAAGCACAAUUCCAAGGUUCACCCAAAAUGAGUGAGUUUGAGAAGGAAUCUUACAAGGCUAAGUUGGACUACCAACAAAAUCCCACCUUUAUUGCACACAUCUCUCAGCUACUGACUUGGACUUCUGCUUGUGUGAAGGAAAUUUUCGUGGAAAUGUCGGUCCGAUUCUUAACAGGUGCCCAUCAUAAGCAUUAAACGAGGCAUACUACAUCAUACUGCCAGCAGAUUCAGCGUCCAUCGCAUGCUCAAUGUCACAAUGAUCAGCACUCACAGUUGCUUCAGAUAUGCUAUAUGAUCCAUCAAGAUGAAGUCCACCUUCUUUACCAGUUGUUGCCCAGUACUUACAUGCAGCUUUAUCAGAUUACCUAUAGGGCUUAAUAUCAGAUAUUGACCCUGCCACAGCAAAACUUGCUAUCACAGUCACAGGCCCUUUGCUCUCGGCAUUUUGGGUUCUUAUUCAUUCUAAGGAUUGUCAUGUCUUGGUACCCCAAGCUCCUGGUGAAGCAAUUUCCUUAUGUUGUCGCUUAUGCUCCUACAGAACCAUUUCUCAGCAUAACAAGGAAGGUGAUGCCUCCUCUUGCUGGAGUGGAUGUCACACCUGUUGUUUGGUUUGGACUGUCAAAGAAACAAGAUGAUGCUGAGGCCAUGGCAGCACAAGGUUUUGUGCCAAAUAUCAGAAAGAUCGGAUUUAUUUUCUGAUUAGAGAAUAAGCUUGUUGCUUGGUGGAUGCAACUACUUUCAAAUGCUGCUUCUUUUGGUGCAAACCAGUGGUCCCAUGGAAACAUACAUACUGUAUACCAAAUGUCAUUUUUCUCUCUGCUGCAUCUGUUACCUCUUUGCUUCUUGGUCAUGUGAUGCUGUCAAAAAUGUGCUGUCCUGAGAUGUUUGUAAUACUGAAUCAACUUUUGUUUCAGCAAAGAAUGUCUCCUGAUAAUGAUGUCUCAAGGAAACUGCACAUGCAUCUGAAAUUGAAACAAACUGUGACUGCAGUUCAUUCUGAUGGUGUUAAGCAGCUCAUCAUCAACAUCUUCU